Molecule: ribosomal RNA, 916 nt
Filed under: uncultured bacterium
Lineage: Bacteria
Description: bacterial SSU rRNA
Rfam family: Bacterial small subunit ribosomal RNA
Source: RNAcentral
UUGUUGGUAAGGUAAAAGCUUACCAAGGCUUCGAUCAGUAGCUGGUCUGAGAGGACGACCAGCCACACUGGGACUGAGACACGGCCCAGACUCCUACGGGAGGCAGCAGUGGGGAAUUUUGGACAAUGGGGGCAACCCUGAUCCAGCCAUGCCGCGUGAGUGAAGAAGGCCUUCGGGUUGUAAAGCUCUUUCAGCCGGAACGAAACGGUUACGGUUAAUACCCGUGACUACUGACGGUACCGGAAGAAGAAGCACCGGCUAACUACGUGCCAGCAGCCGCGGUAAUACGUAGGGUGCGAGCGUUAAUCGGAAUUACUGGGCGUAAAGCGUGCGCAGGUGGUUUUGUAAGUCAGAUGUGAAAGCCCCGGGCUCAACCUGGGAACUGCGUUUGAAACUACAAGACUAGAGUGUGGCAGAGGGGGGUGGAAUUCCGCGUGUAGCAGUGAAAUGCGUAGAGAUGUGGAGGAACACCGAUGGCGAAGGCAGCCCCCUGGGUCAACACUGACGCUCAGGCACGAAAGCAUGGGGAGCAAACAGGAUUAGAUACCCUGGUAGUCCAUGCCCUAAACGAUGUCAACUAGUUGUCGGGCCUUUACGGGCUUGGUAACGUAGCUAACGCGUGAAGUUGACCGCCUGGGGAGUACGAUCGCAAGAUUAAAACUCAAAUGAAUUGACGGGGACCCGCACAAGCGGUGGAUUAUGUGGAUUAAUUCGAUGCAACGCGAAAAACCUUACCUACCCUUGACAUGUAUCGAAGCCCGCAGAAAAGCGGGAGUGCCCGAAAGGGAACGAUAACACAGGUGCUGCAUGGCUGUCGUCAGCUCGUGUCGUGAGAUGUUGGGUUAAGUCCCGCAACGAGCGCAACCCUUGUCAUUAAUUGCCAUCAUUUAGUUGGGCACUUUAAUGAGACUGCCGG